UACGAAGGGGGCUAGCGUUGCUCGGAAUCACUGGGCGUAAAGGGUGCGUAGGCGGGUCUUUAAGUCAGGGGUGAAAUCCUGGAGCUCAACUCCAGAACUGCCUUUGAUACUGAGGAUCUUGAGUUCAGGAGAGGUGAGUGGAACUGCGAGUGUAGAGGUGAAAUUCGUAGAUAUUCGCAAGAACACCAGUGGCGAAGGCGGCUCACUGGCCCGGUUCUGACGCUGAGGCGCGAAAGCGUGGGGAGCAAACAGG
RNAcentral lists this ribosomal RNA (253 nucleotides) under uncultured bacterium. Its description in RNAcentral is "partial 16S ribosomal RNA". It matches the Rfam family "Bacterial small subunit ribosomal RNA", at positions 524 to 776 of the family's 1533-position model. The record is from RNAcentral.